Molecule: long non-coding RNA, 329 nt
Organism: Amaranthus tricolor (Joseph's coat)
Lineage: Eukaryota; Viridiplantae; Streptophyta; Magnoliopsida; Caryophyllales; Amaranthaceae
Exons: 3
Source: RefSeq, a predicted model, not a curated record
UGCUAUUGUGCUUGUUUAAGUAAAAAUUUGCUUAAACUAGAUGCUUAUAUAAUAUCUGAACACACUAAUUUACUGUGUGAAUCUUUGUUGACGCACAGCAUGGGGGCCACACAAAUGCUUUCACUGCAUCAGAAUACACCAACUAUUACUUUGAUGUCAAUGCGGAUGCUUUUGAGGAGGCUCUUGAUAGGUUUGCACAAUUUUUUAUCAAGCCGCUCAUGUCUCCUGAUGCUACCAUGAGAGAAAUCAAAGCUGUAGAUUCAGAACAUCAAAAGAAUUUGCUUUCUGAUAUAUGGCGCAUGAACCAGGUAUUUUCAUUAUCCAAUGAC